RNAcentral lists this long non-coding RNA (3044 nucleotides) under Daucus carota (carrot). RNAcentral's name for it is "long non-coding RNA (DCAR_LNC004266)". Lineage: Eukaryota; Viridiplantae; Streptophyta; Magnoliopsida; Apiales; Apiaceae. The record is from RNAcentral.
AAAUACCCUGAUAAGCGCAUCUUCAACAACCUGAUCAAUUCAAUUUAGGUACAGUUAUUGGGAAUUCAAGUCAGUCUCCAAUAGUCUCUAUAUGUAUCUUUGCAAUAUGCAUGUUAUUAUAAAAAUACAUAUUUAUUUUCUGUGGAAGUUCUGAAUUUUAAGCCACAGGGGAUUAAACAAGAAAACAGGGUAAUAGUAACUAGCGAAGCAAUUUUGUUGCUCCUAAAGAAUCAUUGAUACAAUUAACCAUUGGUGAGUAUACCUUGUCAGGAGUAGAUGCCCCGGAAGUUACACCUAUUGUGAUAGGACCUUCUGGUAGCCAGUUUUCUUUCUCGACCAGCUCCCCGUGCUGUUACAAUGAAAUCAAAUAAUCAUCAUAAUACUCUCUUUUUUCUCUUCGUUAUAUAAAUUCUUUUAACAAAAUAGAAAGCAGGCAGUAGAUCAAGAAUCAGGGAAUAGCUUGCACAGACUUACCAUUAGCUUGUGACUUAUUCUAUUUCCAGGACCAAUUCUCUUCUCACUGUCAAUCCAAUAUGAUGGGAUUCCACGUUCCUCUGCAAUUUCUUGUAGAUGUGAUGUGUUGCUUGAGUUCCAUCCCCCAACCACUAACAUAAGAUCAAGCUUUUCAUCCACCAGUUUAUACAUGGCAUCUUGCCUCUCCUACAUAGAUGUUGGUAUGCGAUGAAUAUAAUUAGUGCCACAAAUCUUGGAUUAUGUGUGCGGGAGUAGGAGAGUGGCGCACAAAGCUUGCAACUAAUAUACAAAAUCCUAGGUAAAGAGGUUAAUUACUUGUGUAGCGUCACAAAUAGUAUUGAAACUCAUGAAGUGGUUGUUGACAUUUUCAACUCCAUAUUUUCGCAUCAUAGUCCUCUCUACUAAUUUCCCUGUAUUUGAAAAACACUAGAAAUAUCACAUGAAGGCAAUAGAUUAAACAAAUGGUAAGAUGAUUUAAAACUAAAACAGAACUAACCGAUUUCCUCUGUUUCUCCCUUCAGCAUGGUAGUUUGAUUGGCAAUUCCAAGUUUCACAAGGUCAAUAUCCGGAUCAAAUCCCUUAGAUACAGCAUAUUUAAAUUUCUGAAGACAAACCAUACAAUGUCUAAUUAGAGUAUAAACUAUAAAAGAAACACUAAGGUCUAUAAAAAAUUGAAUGUCUAUACCUCCAUGAAUGCUUCUUUGGUUGAACUGGACCCGUCAAGUUGUCCUCCAAGGAUGUAAUCACAUACAUAUGUUGCCUAAUUAAUAAAAAGUUAAAUUAAAAUUAAAAUUAGAGUAAAAUCUCAUUGUAUUUUCUGUACAUUGUCAUCUGUCCAUGACGAAAAUAAUGAGGAAGGGUGUUAUUUAAGAUAUACAUACUUCUGCCAUGUUCUUCACAAUGAUAUAUGUUCCUGCAAAAGAUGCAGUAGCUACGGUCUCUUCAUGGGAAUAUUUACCGUGGAUGAUGGAACUGUACUCUCCCUUCUUGUGCUUUUCAACAGUAUUCCAUACCUGUCUUGUGAACACAUAUACUCAUGAGAAGGAAUGUAUUAGAUAUAUAAGAAUCAGAGGCAAGGAGAUCAUGUUAACCACGGCAUUGCAUGCAAAUAAUACCUUAGACACCCAGGGGCAUGUAGUGUCAACUAUCUGUACAUUUUUGUCAUUCAAGACCAUCAUUUCAUCCACAGCAGCUCCAAAAGCAGGCAAAAUCACAACAUCACCCUUGUCAAUAACAUCAAAUUGCUUCUUGCCAUCCGUGAUUGGGAUAUCUUUUACUUCCAUAUCCUCUAACCGCUAGGAUAACAAACACAGUCUUUGACUCGUCAUUAUGAAUAGUUGAAAACGUAAGGGUAUAAUAAGAAAAGAUUAAACAAAAAGGUAGCACAUUUUUGAAUCCUAAUAUAUAUGUGGAUGCAUAAGUUUACCAGGAGAUUUUUUGAAGUGUGAACAUUACAUGUAUUAACAGUAACUAGUUGAGCAACAACUAAAAUAAUUAAUCAAUGAGAAAAUUAUGUGUUUUUUUGUUUUCCUUUUUCCUCCCCUAAUAAUUGGCUCAAAAAUUUUAUUUCAAUAAACACCAUCUAACAGUAAAAAAUGCAUUGGUUCAUUUAUCAUAAGAUAAAUCAACCAAAUUUCUUCACAUCCUAAACCAGAUUAUUGACCCCAAACGAAUAUCAUGUACGUAACAUUGCACGUAACUUGCCGCAUUUUUGGGUCUAGCAUUUAAACAUGUUUAUGAGCAGCACGCAGAGAGAACUGUAACUAGCUACUUGCAGGUGAAGUCAAGUACCCAAAAAGGCACAUUUACAAAUAUAUGGAAAUAUCCAAGCAUCCACUUUACGACAGAAACCAAGAUCACAUCCCGCAAAAAUGACACACCACUACAGAUAAAAGCAAAUUGUGAAAACAAGCCUGGGGUUCGGGCUUUCAACAUGACGGUCAAACAAGUGACCCUUAGACGAUGUGGUAGCAUGUAGCAGGUAGCCAGUAUCCUGCCUAAUAAUUACUUAAUGUAUUAAUUUGAUUGAUUAUGGAGGUAGAUCACUCCUGAAGAAAAUACUAAGCCAUUAUUUGUACCAAAACUCAGUACUGAAGUGCAAAAAGGACCGGUCACCUCGACUAAUAAAUAAUCUGUGAUGAAAUACUAUUGUAAAAACUCAUUGCCUCUAGCCAAAUAGAAUGAUACUCAUAGGUACUAAAAUGUUAGCGAAUAAAUCCGCUUACCAGACUAUGUGAUCUGUAUAAUAUCCUGUGGCACAAUAACACUGCACCUUUAAAGUUAUCAUUAUUUUUUAGCGAUAGGGCUGUAAUGAGCUAAUACCCUCACAAACAGCUGGGUGUUCGCCUCGAAAAGAGCUCUGUUCGGGUGUGGUUCGAUUUAUUAACGAGUAAAACUUGAAUGCAAUAUUAUAGAUCGAUUUAUUAACAAGCCAAACAUAAUCACGGUAUAUUUCGGCUCGAUAGUUCAUAAUUAAGAUCGUUAAUAUGUUCGUGAGAAAAGUUCGUUAACUUGCUCAUGAACAAGCAUGUGAAAAAGUUCGAUUAGUAAGUUUGUGAACAUGCUCACAA